RNAcentral lists this long non-coding RNA (1464 nucleotides) under Anser brachyrhynchus (Pink-footed goose). RNAcentral's name for it is "lncRNA (ENSABRG00000019550.1)". Lineage: Eukaryota; Metazoa; Chordata; Aves; Anseriformes; Anatidae. The record is from RNAcentral.
GUCAGGUAGCUGUCAGCUGUGACCUUUUGCCACUUGUGUUGUCCAUUCACUCUAUUGACUACAAUACACUCAAAACCAAUUUGGCAAAUUAGUGGAAUAAAAAAGCCAUCAAGGUUAUCAAAGACAGGUGGCAGUUUUGUCAGGUGCUCAUAGAGAAUCAUGAGGAAGUACUGCCUGGUUUGCCUGCAGUUCUGCUCUGUGCCUAGAGACUGGCCCAGAUGGACAGCUGCUGGGACUGCUCCUCUGCCUGCUACUGCAGGAGGGAGAGAGAUGACACCAUGCUGCCUGGUUCUAAGGAAGUUCCAAAAAUACCUUCUUCUCUUCAGGGAAUGAAACAAAUAACCCUUACCUCAGAGCUGCCUACACUGACAUCUCCUAAUUACCUGGAAUUUAGUUUCAUUUUUUUUGGAAACUGUCCUCAUCUGAAACCUAAAACCGCGGGCCAGCCUGCCAUCUCCUUAGUGAUACGAUCUUUCUCCAAAUUUAUCCAUUCAUACAUCCCACUCCAUUGUUGUAUUCUACUUUUGUCACAUACUUAAUUUUCCAAACUAUUUUGUGUAUAACACAUUUGUCCGACAAAUCUUAUGAUUUUAGUUCUAGUAUCCAUGCAUAAUCUAUUUACUUUUUGAUUUGCUGUUUGUUGUUGUUUGGUUUUGUUUUUUAUAACUCAUUCUAAAUGUCAUGGAACACCUGUACAACAAAAUUGAAAGUCUUAUGUGGUUACUGGUUAAUUCUUCUUUAUUAAAUGGCUCUAAAUUUAAAAGGAAGAAGGGGUAAAAUUUAGCUUUUGUCAGUAUCUUUUAUUUUUUCCUCUGGAUCCCUUUUCCCAGUGGCCAACAGUAAAAUAACAGAUGCUGCAUGGAAUUCUAUUUUGACACUUUUCAAGAAGACACAGAGAGCUGAGUUUCCAGGCUUUGUAAAAUAUAGUAGCUUCCCCCCCCGCCCCGCCCCGCCCCGUCAAACUGAAGCUGAGAAUAUCAGAGGCUUUCCUUUAAAGGCAUUCAGUUUUUGAGAUUAUGUUAAGGCUGAAAAGCUCAGCCUCUGAUUAAAUUUCAAACAUAUUCAACUUAAAACUUAAUCAGACCCCCUGGAGUGCUGGCCACUUAGCAAAGAUGACUGAAUGGCGAGUUAUUCUAUUUUAUAAAGCUUGGUCUGAGACUUUCAUCCAAACCUGUAGAAGCAGUUGGUAACUUUAGCAAACAACUUGGUUACUAACUAAAGAAAUAUGACAUGUAGCAAACUUUCAAGUCUUACUGUGCUUCGAAAAGGAUGAUUACUUUCAUUACAGGGAUGAGGUUCUUGGUAAGACAGUUGCUGGACCAGCACUGUGUUCAGUGCCCAGUAACGUAACUCUUUCCUUAGAAAUACACAACGAAUUUCUAGAACAUAGUAAUUUAUGAACGCAUGAUCUGUCUAGAAUAUGUGGCAUAAUAAAAACAAGUGACAAAAUCCUGAACCUUAACA